UGGCUCAGGAUGAACGCUGGCGGCGUGCUUAACACAUGCAAGUCGAACGGUGAAGCCCAGCUUGCUGGGUGGAUCAGUGGCGAACGGRURAGUAACACGUGAGUAACCUGCCCCUGACUCUGGGAUAAGCCUUGGAAACGAGGUCUAAUACCGGAUACGAGACGCUCGGGCAUCCGAAGUGUCUGGAAAGAUUUAUCGGUCAGGGAUGGACUCGCGGCCUAUCAGCUUGUUGGUGGGGUAGUGGCCUACCAAGGCGACGACGGGUAGCCGGCCUGAGAGGGCGACCGGCCACACUGGGACUGAGACACGGCCCAGACUCCUACGGGAGGCAGCAGUGGGGAAU
RNAcentral lists this ribosomal RNA (343 nucleotides) under uncultured rumen bacterium. Its description in RNAcentral is "bacterial SSU rRNA". It matches the Rfam family "Bacterial small subunit ribosomal RNA", at positions 20 to 362 of the family's 1533-position model. The record is from RNAcentral.